AUUGAACGCUAGCGGGAUGCUUUACACAUGCAAGUCGAACGGCAGCGCGGACUUCGGUCUGGCGGCGAGUGGCGAACGGGUGAGUAAUGUAUCGGAACGUGCCCAGUAGCGGGGGAUAACUACGCGAAAGCGUAGCUAAUACCGCAUACGCCCUACGGGGGAAAGCAGGUGAUCGUAAGACCUUGCACUAUUGGAGCGGCCGAUAUCGGAUUAGCUAGUUGGUGAGGUAACGGCUCACCAAGGCGACGAUCCGUAGCUGGUUUGAGAGGACGACCAGCCACACUGGGACUGAGACACGGCCCAGACUCCUACGGGAGGCAGCAGUGGGGAAUGUUGGACAAUGGGGGCAACCCUGAUCCAGCCAUCCCGCGUGUGCGAUGAAGGCCUUCGGGUUGUAAAGCACUUUUGGCAGGAAAGAAACGUCGCGGGCUAAUACCCCGUGGAACUGACGGUACCUGCAGAAUAAGCACCGGCUAACUACGUG
This 484-nucleotide ribosomal RNA is filed under the name uncultured bacterium. RNAcentral's name for it is "partial 16S ribosomal RNA". It matches the Rfam family "Bacterial small subunit ribosomal RNA", at positions 30 to 507 of the family's 1533-position model. The record is from RNAcentral.